RNAcentral lists this transfer RNA (70 nucleotides) under Lepilemur jamesi (James' sportive lemur). RNAcentral's name for it is "Lepilemur jamesorum (James' sportive lemur) tRNA-Thr". The record is from RNAcentral. Lineage: Eukaryota; Metazoa; Chordata; Mammalia; Primates; Lepilemuridae.
GCCCUUGUAGUAUACUUAUUACACCGGCCUUGUAAGCCGAAAAUGGAGCCCCUCCCCCCUCCCCAGGGCA